Molecule: ribosomal RNA, 411 nt
Filed under: uncultured prokaryote
Description: bacterial SSU rRNA
Rfam family: Bacterial small subunit ribosomal RNA
Source: RNAcentral
GUGCCAGCCGCCGCGGUAAUACGGAGGGUGCGAGCGUUGUCCGGAAUCAUUGGGUGUAAAGGGUGCGUAGGCGGGCUGCUAAGUCUGGGGUGAAAUCCUGCCGCUUAACGGUAGAAUGGCCCCCGAUACUGGCAGUCUUGAGUACAGAAGAGGUCGGUGGAAUUCGUAGUGUAGCGGUGAAAUGCAUAGAUAUUACGAAGAACACCAGUGGCGAAGGCGGCCGGCUGGUCUGUAACUGACGCUGAGGCACGAAAGCGUGGGGAGCGAACAGGAUUAGAUACCCUGGUAGUCCACGCUGUAAACGAUGUAUGCUAGGUGUCGGCCUUUCGGGGUCGGUGCUGCAGUUAACGCAGUAAGCAUACCACCUGGGGAGUACGUCGGCAACGAUGAAACUCAAAUGAAUUGACGGGG